RNAcentral lists this ribosomal RNA (253 nucleotides) under uncultured Eubacteriales bacterium. RNAcentral describes it as "uncultured Clostridiales bacterium partial 16S ribosomal RNA". It matches the Rfam family "Bacterial small subunit ribosomal RNA", at positions 524 to 776 of the family's 1533-position model. The record is from RNAcentral. Lineage: Bacteria; Bacillati; Bacillota; Clostridia; Eubacteriales.
UACAGAGGUCUCAAGCGUUGUUCGGAAUCACUGGGCGUAAAGCGUGCGUAGGCUGUUUCGUAAGUCGUGUGUGAAAGGCGGGGGCCCAACCCCCGGACUGCUCUGGAAACUAUGUUACUGGAGUGCAGGAGAGGUAAGCGGAAUUCCUAGUGUAGCGGUGAAAUGCGUAGAUAUUAGGAGGAACACCAGUGGCGAAGGCGGCUUACUGGACUGUAACUGACGUUGAGGCUCGAAAGCGUGGGGAGCAAACAGG